Molecule: long non-coding RNA, 93 nt
Organism: Telopea speciosissima
Lineage: Eukaryota; Viridiplantae; Streptophyta; Magnoliopsida; Proteales; Proteaceae
Exons: 4
Source: RefSeq, a predicted model, not a curated record
GGAGAAGAUUGUUUUGACAAAAAAAACAGAGAAAGAGAUGAGUCUCUUCUAUCUCUUGGGUGCUUCUCUUCUCCGGCUUCUAAGUCUAAUAAC